CAGGUACCCCAGGCUGGGGCAGUUUUCUGAUAACAGGAGCAAUGGUCCAGGCAGGGUAUCAGAUACCCAAAUGCCUCUAUGGUUCAUGAGCAAAGUGCUACCCCAGAGUGCAGUACACAGACCUGUAUUCAUUGCCCCGGAGGAAAGAGGAAGGUGCUGAUUCAAGGAAGGAAGGUGGAUUCUGCACUGAACUCAAAGAAGGUGCCGUUGCCAGCAGAAGGAAACCGCACAACACCACCAGGGACCACCUUCUGCAACACCUGGACAUUGCUCAGCACUACAGCAAUAAAAAUCUGCAGCAGCAGGUACAGGGGAGGAGAGCACAACACCAAUACAGGAAAAGCUGCCACAACGACUGAACUUAAGGGGUGAAUACUGCACAGGAAUUGGUUCAAACAGGAAAUUAAACAGCUAGUGAGAGGUGCAAGCCUGGAGGCCGAGCCCAAAGCAGCACAUCAGCACAAGUAGCAGAGACAGCAGUGGUAGUGAAGGGAUAUCCGGAAGGACAGACUGCAAGAGACAAGGAUUAUAAAGAAUGAUGCAAUAAACCAGUGUAAUGGGUGAGUUAAUACAGAUAUAUACUGUAUAUGCAGUUGGGUUUUUAUGCUUAAAUGAGAUAUAAGGACAUUGUCAUUGUGUAUCAGGGGCAUUGUUGGCUGCCAAUGUCCAGCUCCAUGUGGUUUUUAACAUUAUACACUGCUUUUCA
This is a long non-coding RNA of Xenopus tropicalis (tropical clawed frog), 706 nucleotides long. RefSeq lists it as uncharacterized. NCBI's taxonomy places the organism in Eukaryota, Metazoa, Chordata, Amphibia, Anura, Pipidae. The transcript has 5 exons. The record is from RefSeq and is a predicted model, not a curated record.